CAGUUGGCUAAAUCUUCAUAAUUCCUUGUUUUAAUUAUUUUGUAUUUUCAUUUAUAACCAUUAGAAGUGAUAUUAGAUAUGCCUUGCAAGUGUUUUUUGUGUGGUUUCUCUUAUAUUGUAGGAGGUGAAAUUAGUCUUCACAGACUUCCAUCGAAUCAACUUGAACGAGAAAAAUGGUUGCAGAGAAUUUCUUGGAACCGACCGAUGUUGGAAAAAAAAAAUUUUUCUUUGCUCAAAUCACUUCCCUGAGGAUUGCUUUCGACUAAUGAUCCUAUGAAAGAGGUUUAUACCAGGAAGUUUUCCUUCUCCUUCUGAAAUCAAAUUGGAAAUACCUCUAAUAUCUUCAUAUAAUAUAAAAAAAAUUGUUAGACCUACUCAGAAGGGAAUGGAACUAUUGAAGCACAGGACUUUACAGAAUCUGAUUCUAAAACACAAGAGAGAUUUGAGACUUCAGCUACUUUUAACUCUCCUUCAAAAUGUGCAUCUUCUAGCUCUAGUGACACUAAGAACCUAAGGCUUAUCCAAGGAGGUUUGCCUUUGGAAAUUAAAUUGGAAAUACCUCUGACUUACUCAGAAGGGAAUGGAAGUAUUGAAGAACAAGACUCUACGGAAUCUCUAUAUGAUUCUAAAAUAAAAUCUCCAUCAAAAAAAACAAUUGAGAUUUGACACUCCAAUUACCAAUGAUCCAGAAGAAACACUGACUUUAACCUCUCCUUCAAAAUGUGCAUCAUUUAGCUCUAGUGCCACUUCUUUCUCUGGGAAACGAAGAAUAUCAAAAACGUAGUCAAGACAGUUUUCUCAAAUCCCCGCUAUAUUGGAGACUAUUCACAUCGUCAUUUGGAAAACCCUAUGCUGCGAGAGAAAUACUUUAGGUUGUCUCCAAGAAUCCUGUCCAAUUUCAAGGUCAAAAAUAAAAUAUUGUGUGUGUCCAUCCUGAAGUCAAACAGCACCGAGUCAAAACUACAGUUGAGAAAAAUCUUGGGGUAUCUUUCCAAUGCCUAUCAAUUUGUAGUUGAUAUCUAUACUCAGGC
Harmonia axyridis is the source of this 1031-nucleotide long non-coding RNA. RefSeq lists it as uncharacterized. The transcript has 5 exons. Lineage: Eukaryota; Metazoa; Arthropoda; Insecta; Coleoptera; Coccinellidae. The record is from RefSeq and is a predicted model, not a curated record.